This 64-nucleotide transfer RNA is filed under the name Philodina citrina. RNAcentral's name for it is "transfer RNA-Glu". Lineage: Eukaryota; Metazoa; Rotifera; Eurotatoria; Philodinida; Philodinidae. The record is from RNAcentral.
GUUGAGUUUAAACGAUUUAUUUACAUCAAAUAGGUUUAUCAGUUCAUUAUGCCAGAUAAUUGGG